CUUUGCUUCACGUUUCACGCUGCCAUUGCCUUCGUUUUUUUUUAGCCUCCACUGACCCUUCGAGAAGUUCCACGAUUUCCAGACUUCUACUGAUCUAAAUCUCCAGAUAAAGAAGAACGAUCUAGAGAGAGAUAGAGAGAUCGGGUGGGUUUUUUUUUGCUUUGUACAAAGAGAUAGAGAGAGAAAGAAGUAGCUUAUCGAACGAUCGAAGAAGGGAUUGUGGUGUUUUGAUAGAAAGAGAAGUAAGAGUGUUUGGUUUCGAUAAUCUUCAGUCUGUUGCGUUGGUGGGUUUCGGGAUAGUGAGUAUUGCAGAUUCUAUGCAAAAAAGUGUUCGCGUGGUUCUGUUGCCGCUGUUCCUUUGCUCAUUGUUCAGUAUUAUUUCAACGUUGUACACUUCUUUAGCUCUUUCGGAUAGUGUUCUAUCAAGCCCUUUGGCUAUCUCAAAUUCAGUUAUGGCACCGAAAAUGAGAUGCAGCAAACCACACCUGCACUUUCUUGAACCCACUUAUUCCCGAAGCAAAGGAAUACACAGCCGAGUUUUCCAAGCCAGGAGAUAAGGUGAAACUCCUUCCUCCACCGCCUAGACGGCUAACCCCAGAUGAACUCAAGCAACAAGCGAUGAAAUUAGUUUAUGAACUGAAUGCUCCGAAUCCUGAUGCACAUAAAGGCAGUGUUUAUUGCACUGCUUCUAUUUGAAGAUUUUCAGUGCAUAAUGGGUGGUGGUACAAUGCUUGCUCAAACCUGUUAUAAACAGCUGAAACCGAAGGAACACACUGAUGAAUUAGCAUGUGAAAAGCAUGAUGUAAAAAUACCUAUUCCAUGGACUUGAAUGAGUGGUCUGUGCUUAAACCCCUUCCAUCUUCCAUCUUAUGGUACAAGAAGAGAUGCAGCAGCUGGAAGGUUCCAAGUUAUCAUAAAAAGAGGCAGAGAAUACAAAGGUAUAACAGGUUCCAAGUUAUCAUAAGAAGAGACAGAGAAUAGAAAGUGGGAAGAAAAUCUAUCCUUCAGACAAUAAGUCACGAUUCCCUCCGGUGCUAUGGUCCUUAAUUAUUGAAAGCAUUGCCCAGACAAAUCACAGUGUCUACAACUGAGAUACAGAAUGGUACUAACGUAGACGUUUUUGGAUCACCAACUAAAAAGGCAAUUCUACACUGAGGAAUUAAGAUUCUAUUCAAUCUCGAGGAUCAGAGCCCUUUCCAGUGCUCAAUCUAUCCAUAAAAGUUUCAGAUAACUACAACUUGAAUACAGCCGAAGUAGACAACACGCUCUGCUCCAGACACAGAAACAGGAAAUGCAAGCGGCUUUCCAUCGACUAUCAGUGACCCCAACAAUAAUCUGGAUCAACGUUAUCUUCUCAUUAGGUUUGAUUUCAAGUUAAUGAUUUUGGUGGAGAAAUUCGUGUAACGUGUUUUAAUCAUGCAGCCAAAAAAUUCAUGUAUCUGACAAAAACAAUAUAAAUAUUCUGCCAUGUAAUGUUAUAAGAUCACCUUACUUAAAUUGUAAA
Rosa chinensis is the source of this 1504-nucleotide long non-coding RNA. RefSeq lists it as uncharacterized. NCBI's taxonomy places the organism in Eukaryota, Viridiplantae, Streptophyta, Magnoliopsida, Rosales, Rosaceae. The transcript has 13 exons. The record is from RefSeq and is a predicted model, not a curated record.